This 1040-nucleotide long non-coding RNA is filed under the name Callithrix jacchus (white-tufted-ear marmoset). RNAcentral describes it as "lncRNA (ENSCJAG00000076268.1)". The record is from RNAcentral. Lineage: Eukaryota; Metazoa; Chordata; Mammalia; Primates; Cebidae.
ACAAACUCUCGAUUCUAUGGAACUCAAGAUCGAUAUGUAAAAAAGGAGAUAUACAGCAUAGUUCUGAGUUUUUUCUCUUCCAAGUCUAACAAUUAAGGACUAAGUAAAGGGUGAAAAAAAAACAUCAAGGGAGAAAUAACUAAUCACUAGUGCAUUAAGAGUAAAGCCAAAGGAAGAUGUCUUAUGGAAGACAAGGGAAGAAAGUAUUUUCAAGAAAAACAAAGGUCAAAAUGUAUUGGAUUGCAGCUCUGGAAUCUGAAAAAACGUGGAUCUUGCUUUGCAAUGCUCUAGUUCUAGGAAGUCAGCGAGAACUGGCCUUUGGUUCCAUGACUCCAGACACUAGUCUCCUGUCUCAUCACCACAAUAAAUACUUGGAAUAACUUGAUGGAAGAUGAUAGACCUGUGGGCAGAGCCAGGUCAUCUCCAUUGCCCUAGCCAAGAUGGCUCAAAUAGCUAGUGGCUCCUCUUAGAUGUGAAAAAGUCUAGCCAAAAUUAGUGCAGCAGUAUAGACAGGCUAUAGCUUAUUCCAGAUGCUUGAGCAGGAAACAUUUACUAUUGUGUACCACUGAAGUUUUGGAGUUGUAAUACAGGAUUACCAUGGUAAUAAAUUAUUGAUAUGAGUUGAUACAGCCUAUAAAGCAAAAAUAGUAGCAUUUUCUUUCUUUAUAGUGUGCCAUGAAAAAUAGAGAAGAUGGCCAGACACGGCUCAUGCCUGUAACCCAGCACUUUGGGAAGUAGAGGUGGGUAGAUCACCUGAGGUCAGGAGAUUGAGACUAGCUUGGCCAACAUGGUGAAAUCCCAACUCUAUUCAAAAUACAAAAAUUAGCUGGGCCUGGUGGUUGGCACCUGUAAUCUCAGUUACUUGGGAGGCUUUGGCAGGAGAAUUGCUUGAACCCAGGAGGCAGAGGUUACAGUGACCAGAGAUGGCGUUCUUGCACUCCAGCCUAGCCAACAAGAGUGAAACUCCAACUCAAAAGUAAUAAAUAAAUAAAUAAAUAAAUAAAGAAGACAAUAUAUACGUAGUUGAUCCUUGAAUAGCA